UUCAAAUAGACUUUAUCAUCUUUAACACUUCACCUCUCCAUUGAAAAUAAUAUUCAUUACCUCUCAAAAAUAUUACAUAGAAAUAAAAUCAUUUAUUUGUAUUAAUAACAAACUUAUUUGCUCCACACGUGACCCAAAAUAUGAGGGUACGUAUAAGGCACUUUUGGUUCUCACCAGCUUUUUCUUUUUCUUCAAGCUUCAGUUCCUGCCAUAGUUAAUUUAUACCAUACCUCCUAGAGUUAGCUAGGGGAAGAAAAAAGUGACAAUAUAAAGUUAUAAUUUUCAAGCAUGAGGACGUGUUAGAUGUGUAUAUUCAUACAUAGACUAGAAGCUGAAAAGAAGAGCUUUAGAGAAUGGUUAGAACAAAUUAAUUAUUACAUCAGUGUCAAGAGUUGUGAAUCCUUGUUUUUCUCAUUGUAAAUCAUCAUUAAAAAACAUGAUCUUAGGAUUGUUGUCAUUGAUCAAAUUAGUUGCGGGGUAUUCUUCUUUCGUGACAGUUGGUACCAUCCAUGAACUCAAUCUUCCUCUCUUUGCCAUUCUGUUCUCCUGUCCUCUCUAUUUAUUUUCCUGCUUCCUCCUUACUGUCUACAUUUGGGGCCUCUCCAGCAUGCCAUAGUAAAUAAAUGAAAUUUACACAGGAGUGGGAUGCCAGGAAAUGUUUCAAUGCGGAAGAUUUACAUAACCAGAAUUUCUUGAGCGACAUCAUUGGAGCGCCUCUUAGGGCAUUUCUCGGUGUAUGCAUGAGGAAAUGGAGAAGGGUCAUCCACGGUUUCAUAAGCACUGGGCAAGAUGGGAGGGCUUCGCUUUCUUUGCUUACAAGUCCAAGGAAGAAGCAAACGAGGACCCAUUGCUAUGAAUUCUUCUAAGGCCACAAUGCAUCUUUUGUUAUGGCUGCCAAUAUCAAUGGUGAUAUAAGAAAAAACAAAACAAGUUUUGCUAGAAAAGAGUUCAUCUUUUUCCAAUUUUUUAGAUAUUAGCCAUAUAUACAAAAAUGUUGAAUAUUUAGAUAUAUGUGUUGGUUGCUCGCAUCAUUGAGAAUAUAUAUGGUGUAUAAAAAUCCUCCAUUGAAAAACAAAAUCUAAUUAAAGGAAUUACGAUACCAUUUGAAACUAGAAAUAUGCGCCGAAGGAAGCCAUUAAAAAGCUUUGUAAAAAUGGUUUACCUUUCCAUGUUCCAAGAAUUUUAAAAUCAAACUUUAAAAGAUCUACUGAAUAAUUUUAGCUAAAUGAAAAGUGUAAAAUAUAUACCUAUUUCCGACUCCCCUCAUGCUAUUGAACUUCAUGAAGUUAAGUGAACCUGAAAAUAUUACCAAGUAUAUAUUUUUAUUUCAUUCAGAACAAUAAUGAUAUUGAUUAGGUUAACAAAGAAAAUAUUUAAAUUAAUAAGAAUAAUACGUCGAAGAAACAUUUUAAAUAAAUAAGAGGAAUAUGUCACUAAAAUUAUUGAAAGAAAUAAAAUGAACACUAAAAUCAAAGUAAGAGAUAUUAUAAACCAAGUUUAAAAUUCUUAUUUCACCAACAUCUAGUUAGUUAAAAUAUCUGUAAUGUACAGAUACUCUAUUAGUAUGAUAAAAGCUAGCUUUUUAUUAGAUUAUAAAAAAUUAUGCUAAGAUUUGAUGUUGUUCCGUGAAAUUACAAAGAGAUUAUUAUCAUAUGUUUAAAACAACAUAUUAACCUACUUAAUGUUGAAUGUAAUUGCAUUUACAUACCUUCUAUUUAGCACCAACAAGGCAAAGUUCUCUUCAAAUACAUAUUUUACUCUAUCAAGAAAAACUAGAAAGAAAAAGCUAUACAUUUCAAAUAAUUCAUUUAAAUAUAGCCAAUGAAAUGUUCUUACUCUAUUUUUUUUAUUUUAAUUCCAUGCAUUUAAAUAAAUCUUUCCAUUUUUGAGGGUGCUAAAGCUUUCCUAAAACAGCCCUAAAUACUUUAAAAGAGUUGUUAGUAUUUUUGAAGCCUAUUUUUAUGUGUUUUUUCUUUAUUUUGUGAAAAAACUCAUAAACAAACUAUUAGAAAAUGAACACUCUCAAGAAGCCACUUUAGUGGAAAAAGAAAAAGAGAAAAAAAAAACAUCUAUAAUUCCAAAGAAAAGAGGCAAAACACAGGGGUAUUUAACAUAAUAUCCAAAGUUUUAUUCUAAUUUCCUUCACUUUCUCAUCAAGCAAAUAAAAUUUAACAAAUAAUAUAAACAUACCUUUACAUGGUGCCAUUCAAGUAGUUCUUGGGAAAAGAUCUGCAUAUAUACAUGAAAAGGAGUUCAAGGGUGUUAAGAAAUUUUAGGGAUUUUAAAGAUGGGAACACAUAAAAUGUUUGACUAACUUUGAAGUUUAAAAUGAAUUCUAUAGUGAUGGUUCUAAGAUGUUGUGUGUAGAAUGUCAUAAUUAAUAUAGUAAAAAUCCAUCUUUGGUCCAAAUAAAGUGAAAAGAAAAUGGUUCUCAAAAGAAGCCUAGACUUAAAGUUCUUAAAUGUAUUGAAACUAAAGCAUAGCAUGAAACAUCAAAGUUUGUGAAGCACUAUGCUAUAUAUAUUCAAGUAAGUUUGUGAAUUGCACAAAUUGAUAAGGAAAAUUGACUGGAUAGACUCACUAAAAGAAGAAAUAAGUCUUAUUUAAAUCUUUAAUUUAGGUCUCUUUCCCAAUCACAUCUUUGAAUGGAUAGACUCACUAAAAGAAUAUGAGGAGCUUUUUGAUAGUGUCAUGUAUCAAUAAGAAAUAUGCAUUGAGAAACCUAAGACUGCAAGUAGAGAUAUGCUCAUCUAACUAAGAUAAGUUGUCGUAGUUGCGAAAUCGUUUCCUUAUUCUUCUUUCCUUUUCCUAAUUUUUGGAUAUAAAUUUGUGAAAGGUCAAUAGCCUCAUUGACAUGUGUGCAUGUGUGUUUAAUAUAUAUAACUUUUUUUUUUUUUAAUGAAGUUAGAGGUAAGAAUGUUAGUUUUUGGUAGGUUCACUACAAUUUUGUGUCCUUUUUAUAAAUAUGGGUUGCUAACAAUGUCUAGAUGGCAUAAGUGAUUCUAAUUUCACAAUAGAAGAGAGAAAUCAAUUUCUUGUCCAGUUUAAUUUGCAUGGGCACUAAUUUCAAAUUAUUUCACUGGCUAAAUGGAACAACCCUAUCAAGAGGAUAAGGAGCUAUUUUAUAGAUCCAAAGCCCUUCGAACCUACAGGUUGAUAAUGGAAACUUAGCUUUGCUUGCCAAAGAUUUCCUUACUAGGUUGUAAGAUGAGAUUAUGGAGAUGACUAAUCAUGCAUCCAUGAUAAAGAUCUAGCCAAAUGCUAGAUUUUCUUAGUUGGAAGCAAGCUUCUACUACAUAAUAAUUCCAUCUUGAGGAACUUAAUACUCAAUCUUAAGGAUAUAAAUGGCUAUUAGGAAGCCACAUCAUUGAAUGCCUAGUAGCCAAUUUAAAUCAAUAUAGGGUGAUUCUUAGCAGCGUGAUUGUUAUUUCAAUUAUUGAGAAAGGCCAAUAACAUUACAUUAUUUAAAACCAAUGUCCUUAUUUAACCAAGUACUAGAACUUGUAAGAGUACAAAACAAAUUUAAUAAUAAAUGAUCCAAUAGUAAUGUGGAAGUUUCCAAUCAAUAAAAAAAUAACCAUUCAAGAUACUUCAAGUAUAUAAUCAUGUUGUCUUAAACUUGCCAUCAAACCCUAGGUCUCUAAAUCAUUGGUAUUAACAUUUCUUAUAAAAAGAUGAAGUCUAUAAUAAAAAAUAGUAGAAGUCAAUUAUACCUUAAAUCUUAAUAAUGCUACAACAAAAUUCCAUUUCCCACCUUCGAUCUCUAAGCCUUCCAAAAUUGAAGCAAAUAAAGAUCUAAGAAGGAAAUAACUUCAAAGAAAAUAAGUAUACUCACAUUGGGAUUCAUUGCAACACAAGCUACUUCUACAUUUGAGAU
RNAcentral lists this long non-coding RNA (3877 nucleotides) under Vitis vinifera (wine grape). RNAcentral describes it as "long non-coding RNA (VVIN_LNC000856)". The record is from RNAcentral. Lineage: Eukaryota; Viridiplantae; Streptophyta; Magnoliopsida; Vitales; Vitaceae.